GAUGAACGCUGGCGGCGUGCCUAAUACAUGCAAGUCGAGCGAACAGAUGAGGAGCUUGCUCCUCUGACGUUAGCGGCGGACGGGUGAGUAACACGUGGAUAACCUACCUAUAAGACUGGGAUAACUUCGGGAAACCGGAGCUAAUACCGGAUAAUAUAUUGAACCGCAUGGUUCAAUAGUGAAAGACGGUUUUGCUGUCACUUAUAGAUGGAUCCGCGCCGCAUUAGCUAGUUGGUAAGGUAACGGCUUACCAAGGCAACGAUGCGUAGCCGACCUGAGAGAGUGAUCGGCCACCCUGGAACGGGGACACGGUCCAGACUCCUGCGGGAGGCAGCAGAAGGGAAUCUUCCGCAAUGGGCGAAAGCCUGACGGAACAACGCCGCGUGAGUGAUGAAGGUCUUCGGAUCGUAAAACUCUGUUAUUAGGGAAGAACAAAUGUGUAAGUAACUAUGCACGUCUUGACGGUACCUAAUCAGAAAGCCACGGCUAACUACGUG
This 497-nucleotide ribosomal RNA is filed under the name uncultured bacterium. RNAcentral describes it as "partial 16S ribosomal RNA". It matches the Rfam family "Bacterial small subunit ribosomal RNA", at positions 28 to 507 of the family's 1533-position model. The record is from RNAcentral.